AGAGGGAUAAAGAGAACGAUCGUUCCCGUGUGCGCGCGCGGGCGUUCGUCCGCGUCUAAUUUCGCGUGUGUUAGCGCGCGUGUGCCUGUGGUGCCGCGUGUCCGUGAGCGUAUGCACGCGCGUGCGCGCGCGCGCACGCGUGGAGUGUGUGGGUGCGUGUGUGUACGUGCACGAGCGUGCGGCGCGGCUGUGCGGCAGUGAGAGUUCCGAGGAAGGAACAAAGGGAGUGGAAAAGAAAGAUCCGUCGAUCGGCUUAGAAAGCAGCUAAGGGUGGCGCAGCGCGGGAGAACGGCGCCGAGAGAAGUGAUAGCGGACGCUUACGUGAACGGAUUCUGGGGUGUUAAGGAGAACAGCCCCGCGUCAACACGGGCGACGCGGCGCGCGGCGGCCGGACACGGACACGAACGCGUCGACGGGCCUGUCCCCCGAGGAAGGGACCGUCGCGCGCAACGCGAUCAAUUUUCGUUGCGACGCGCGGGCGGCUUAGACCGUAGAACGGACGCGAGACGAAAUGACGAGGCAACCGAGGUACCGAUAACCGGCCGGAUAAUGUUGUCGCAGAGCAAGUUUUACGCUCUCUUCAUCCACUACACGUUCGUGUAGCGCGAAACGGGGCGGGUCCUUGCCGCUGCGGUGAAGAAGAAUAGAGGAGAAGGAGGAGGAGAAGGAGAAGGAGAAGGAAGAAGCAGGAAGCAGAAGAAGAAGAACACGAGGGGAAGGAAAAGGUGCUGUCAGUGGGGGAGAAUAGAAACGAAAGCGAAGCGAGAGAAACGGAGAAGGGAAAAUCAUUCGAAACUAGAGAUAGCACCUCGUACCAGCCGUGGUGGUCGCCAUCGUCGCUCGAGGGCUGAAGGAAAAGAAGCAAGAAAAAGGAAAAAGAAAGACGGAAUUCGUGGCGUAACCGAAGGAACGGAGAGGGGCCGUACACGCGUGUAUACACGGCGGCACGCGCAUUAUAUGCACGUAGGUGGAGGGACAUCGUGCGAGGCGGAAUUUUAGCGCUACACGUCUCGUCGGUCGUUCUUCUUCUGCAUCGUCGGUGUGAAAGUGUAAUCUUAGUGUGUCGUCUCACGGUGCUCGGUUGUGCUACCCUUACAUCUCGAGCAAGGCCCGCGGAGGUAUCCCAGAACCCGCCCCCGCCCCCGCGCCCUCCCUCUCUCUCCGCUCUCUCGACGUCGCAGUGCCUCUCUUCUCUCCAUAUCGCUACGUUGCGCUUCUCUUUUACGUUCGCAGCGGUGACUAUCUACGCUGGAGAGUGUUCGACCUCCUCAACCAUAAAAAUCGACCGACUCGAAGACUAGACUAUGUUAUUUCGGAUAACGGAUUGAUCGCACCCGUCGCUUCAUUUACACGUCGGACAUGAAAAAUCUUGGUUCGCGUUGGACGGUCCCCGACAUAGCACGCACUGCCGCAGCGCGUUCGUCAUUUCUCGUCGCCAUUUCGUUGGAACGAGAUUCAGGUAGCAGCAGCAGCAGCAGCAGCAGCAAGAGCAGCAUCCGUAACAGGAACAAAACUAGAAGUAGCGGUAGCACCAGCGACAGCAACGGCAUUAGCAGUAGUAGCAUCAGCAACAGCAGCAGCAGUAGCA
This is a long non-coding RNA of Mycetomoellerius zeteki, 1588 nucleotides long. RefSeq lists it as uncharacterized. The record is from RefSeq and is a predicted model, not a curated record. The transcript is spliced from 3 exons. Lineage: Eukaryota; Metazoa; Arthropoda; Insecta; Hymenoptera; Formicidae.